GGGGUUGUAGCUCAGUGGUAGAGUGCUUGCCUAGCAUGUGUGAGGCCCUGGGUUUGAUUCCCAACACCG
This 69-nucleotide transfer RNA is filed under the name Urocitellus parryii (Arctic ground squirrel). RNAcentral describes it as "Spermophilus parryii (Arctic ground squirrel) tRNA". It matches the Rfam family "tRNA". Rfam says of the family: Transfer RNA (tRNA) molecules are approximately 80 nucleotides in length. Their secondary structure includes four short double-helical elements and three loops (D, anti-codon, and T loops). Further hydrogen bonds mediate the characteristic L-shaped molecular structure. tRNAs have two regions of fundamental functional importance: the anti-codon, which is responsible for specific mRNA codon recognition, and the 3' end, to which the tRNAs corresponding amino acid is attached (by aminoacyl-tRNA synthetases). tRNAs cope with the degeneracy of the genetic code in two manners: having more than one tRNA (with a specific anti-codon) for a particular amino acid; and 'wobble' base-pairing, i.e. permitting non-standard base-pairing at the 3rd anti-codon position. RNAcentral also lists the same sequence under 1 other name. The record is from Rfam by way of RNAcentral. Lineage: Eukaryota; Metazoa; Chordata; Mammalia; Rodentia; Sciuridae.